This 489-nucleotide ribosomal RNA is filed under the name uncultured bacterium. Its description in RNAcentral is "bacterial SSU rRNA". It matches the Rfam family "Bacterial small subunit ribosomal RNA", at positions 1 to 507 of the family's 1533-position model. The record is from RNAcentral.
CGUACGAUACGAGUUUGAAUCCUGGCUCAGAGUGAACGCUGGCGGCGUGCUUAACACAUGCAAGUCGACGGGUUAAAGAAGCUUGCUUCUUUGAUUAGUGGCGCACGGGUGAGUAAUGUAUAGCUAACCUGCCCCCUUAGUGAGGGACAACAGUUGGAAACGGCUGCUAAUACCUCAUACUCCUUCUUAUCAUAAGGUGAGUUGGGAAAGAUUUAUUGCUAAGGGAUGGGGCUUUAUUGUAUCAGCUAGUUGGUGGGGUAAUGGCCUACCAAGGCUAUGACGCAUACCUGGUCUGAGAGGAUGAUCAGGCACACUGGAACUGAGACACGGUCCAGACUCCUACGGGAGGCAGCAGUGGGGAAUAUUGCACAAUGGAGGAAACUCUGAUGCAGCAACGCCGCGUGGAGGAUGACGCAUUCGGUGUGUAAACUCCUUUUAUAGGGGAAGAUAAUGACGGUACCCUAUGAAUAAGCACCGGCUAACUCCGUG